UGAGGAAUAUUGGUCAAUGGACGCAAGUCUGAACCAGCCAAAUCGCGUGAAGGAAGACCGCCUUAUGGGUUGUAAACUUCUUUUGUAAGGGAAUAAAAAGCGCUACGUGUAGCACAUUGCAUGUACCUUACGAAUAAGCAUCGGCUAACUCCGUGCCAGCAGCCGCGGUAAUACGGAGGAUGCAAGCGUUAUCCGGAUUUAUUGGGUUUAAAGGGUGCGCAGGCGGGAACUUAAGUCAGCGGUGAAAUCUCGAGGCUCAACCUCGAACCUGCCGUUGAAACUGGGUUUCUUGAGUAUAGAUGAAGUAGGCGGAAUUCGUUGUGUAGCGGUGAAAUGCAUAGAUAUAACGAGGAACCCCAAUUGCGUAGGCAGCUUACUAAACUAUAACUGACGCUCAAGC
RNAcentral lists this ribosomal RNA (400 nucleotides) under uncultured bacterium. RNAcentral describes it as "bacterial SSU rRNA". It matches the Rfam family "Bacterial small subunit ribosomal RNA", at positions 355 to 752 of the family's 1533-position model. The record is from RNAcentral.